UAUUAGUUCUACAAAUUUCCUUAAAAUCAAUAUCACCAAUGACCUUAAAUUCACCAUCCAAAUGGCUUCUCAAUGUGGCUGAUCAGACCACAAGGGGGAGCCCUGAUAGAGGUCAAAAGUCAUACCACCCUUUCAGAACCAUGUUCCUUACUACAUUAGACCAAUUAAAGAAAAACCUUCAACAUUUUCUACAUAUUUUAUCUCAGGUUCCCAGAACAUUUCCCUUAUCCAAAGACUUCACGUGUUUAAUUAAAACUGAGAAAACAAAACUUCAACGGCUCCAUGUAUGUAUAACUUCUAAGAUUCCAUAUGUGUGUGUGUACCCCUUUAAGAUAUCGUGUCUUCUAGGUGUACAGCAAAUGGAAAUCUCACCAAAUCCAAAAGGAAUAGUAUAUCCCAACAUAGUAUUUUAAAGAUACCAACAAAUAGUUAUACACGAUUUGUUGUGUAUGGGUAUUUGCUAACCCUAGUUAAAAACAAACACAACAUUUCCAGGCCUUUUUCAAUUUGGUAGAAAUAUGCCUCUCUCACUCACUCCCUCACUCCAUUGCUCAACAUGGUGUUGAGCGAUCUCCGUGAAUUCCAGCACACUCUUAGCUGUGAUUCCCACCACCUUUUCACAUUCCACCCGCACCUGGUCUGGCAACCCUUGCAUACAGUUAGCAAGGAAUAAGUGCUUCAUGGUGUCUUUCUCUGGUUCUUCAUUCCAAGCCUGCCUCCAGAGGCCCCUUGCCUUUUUCAUGUAUACGGGCACACUCUCCUCUUCCUCCAGUGUCAGUGUCCGCAUCAGCUGAGGUCUUGGCUGGGUCGGGUAUUUGCACCUGACAGCGUCCCAUGCUUGUCCUCGGUAUUGAUCAAACCUGGUAGCUGCUCCCAGUCCUGCAGCAGUCAUGACUUCUCUGUAUUCUUGGUCUCCCAUACACCUGUUCAUUUCCGCGGCCAUAUCACCUACCGUGAGUUGGUCAGCCGCCGUCAGACUUUCAAAUGCUUUUACCCAUCUAUCCCCUGACUCCUCAGGCGCAGGCAGGCUAUCGAUUAGGGUCUGUAUAUCCCGGUGAGCCCAUGGCUUAUACACUGCUGUACCUCCGGGUGUAUCCCUCAGCGGAUACAGCCUCAUUGUCAUCCUUUCAUGACUCCUGCUUCUCGUGUGGUAUGUUGGGGCAUCCCCUGGGUUCCACAUGUCCCCUUCAAAUGUUCCACACAGAACUUUGGGUUCUCUGUCUCUCCUUUUUCCCUCCUAUGUCUAUGCAGUGGCCCCUCUCUAGGUGGCCUGGUCUGCCACUUCGAUCUUGCUCUUCGCCAAGUUCUCACAGUCUUUUCUAGUAUUCUUAUCUGUACUUCUCCUUGUUUCACUUCCUCUUCCAUUUCUUCCAACUUUCUGCGUCUUUGUCUCUCGGCUUCCAUUCUCUCCAUUUCCAUUUGUUCCAGCUUUUUCAGGGUCUGUCUCUCAGCUUCCAUUCUCUCUCUCUCUCUCUCUGUCGUCUCAGGGUCUUUCCACUGUAUCAGGUCAUCUGAUACUACGCUGCCACUUUCGCUUCUUCCUACUAGGCUCAUGCUUUCAAUGCCAGCUUCCAGUCUGCUCAGGUUGUUCACCCCGUCUCUCAUUGCUUUUGCUGUCUCAAGUAGAGCAGCCACCUCCUCUCUCCUAUCGCUCACCUUGCACCACUGCUCCCCUUCCUCUUUAUCCGGGCGUUUGUGGUAGCUGACCGCUGCUGACACAUCUAAAACUGGAGCCAUGAUCUUUGGAACUUCAUACGGCGGGGGUGCUGAGGGAAGGGCAGGAUAGAGCCUGGAUCGUUUCAAUUGUUCUUGUUCUUGUCCUUCUUUCCACAUUUUCUUUAGUUUUUCCAGCAUCGCCAAACCUAUGCGCUCCAUCAACCUAGCUUUUUCCAUCACUUCCUUGUGCUUUCCUUUUCGUGGCUCUCCCUCUUGUUUCCAUUCUCCUUCAGCUUUUGCUGAUUUUAUUUUCAGCGUCUCUAAUAUUCGUCCUGGUUCCCCCUCUACUGGGACUCCUUCAGGUGAUGUGAUACAGCCAUCAUCCACCCAUUCUUUGUAUAAUUUUUCUCCUCUUCUUUUCCAUUCUUUACCGUCUUUUCCCCCUUUUACUUCUAGUGUAGAUAUUAGGGCCUUCAAUAUCCGCUCCAUUUCCCGCCCCGCCAUAUAUGCUUUUCGGUUGUUAACUAAUAACUUUUCAAAAUGUACCACUACUUUAUCAUCCCCCAAUACUUCCCUGAAUUUUACCCGUUAGCUUAUACAGCGUCUAAAACAAAGUAUUCUCCGACUUGUUUACAGACAUCACCCGUUAGUUACAUUUUUUUAUAUAUAUAUAUAUAUAUUUUUUUUUUUAACCUAGCCUCAAUGUGCUCACAAUUACGGAUCUACAGAACCUAAAACAUUAAAUAUUUCCCCGAACCUAGCCGUAAUAUGUUCACACUUACGGACCUUGCCGGUAGGACAAUAUUAUUAUUCCUAAAAUGUUUAAUAUUUCCCCGAACCUAACUGUAAUAUAUAUCCAUAUUUACGGACCUUGCCGGUAGGACAAUAUUCCUUUCCAAUAGUUCCCUGUACUUUUAGAACCUAGCCUGUGGUACGUUCGCGACCUACAGGACCUUGCCUAAGAGUUUAUGUAUUUCUCCGAACCCACCCGUAAUACGUCUCGAUUACGGACCUUGCCGAACCUAGUCUGUGGUACGUUCACGACCUACAAGACCUUGCCUAAGAGUUUAUGUAUUUCUCCGAACCCAGCCGUAAUACGUCUCGAUUACGGACCUUGCCGGUAAGACAAUACGCCAAUAACGGACCUUGCCGGAUUUGUGAAACACACCGUCCGACGACAGCGAUGCCCAAUCAGCCGGACAAAUUCCAGCGAAGUCCUUCUACCAGAAUCACGUCAGGGUCAACAAUUGUCGGAUUGCGUCAAUCGAAUCUG
This 2929-nucleotide long non-coding RNA is filed under the name Salmo salar (Atlantic salmon). RNAcentral's name for it is "lncRNA (ENSSSAG00000088202.1)". The record is from RNAcentral. Lineage: Eukaryota; Metazoa; Chordata; Actinopteri; Salmoniformes; Salmonidae.